This is a long non-coding RNA of Suncus etruscus (white-toothed pygmy shrew), 636 nucleotides long. RefSeq lists it as uncharacterized. The transcript has 4 exons. The record is from RefSeq and is a predicted model, not a curated record. Lineage: Eukaryota; Metazoa; Chordata; Mammalia; Eulipotyphla; Soricidae.
CUAAACACAAUUCAUUAAUAUAAAUUGCUUUUUCAGAUAAUGGAGACUAUUUUUGGGACAAGCCUUCCAAAGUGGGAGUAGAGGCUACUUUUCCUAAUGGAACUCAGUUUAAAAGAGGUCGGGGUUUGGGAACCAGUGCUUUUAUAACCUUUAAGAGGCUGAGAAGCAGAGAUUUUAUAAAAGGAAAUGAUGCCUAUUUUCUACUGACAGUGGAAGAUAUAUCGUUCCUUAAUUCUACGAGCAUUCAGCCAACCCCAACCCCAACCUCUAGUGGAAAUAAGAACCUCUGCAUAAACUUUGAGUGUCAGAAUGAUGGUAUCUGUACUGUCCAAGAGAACAAAGCUGUGUGCAGGUGUCCGGCAGGUGAAGACUGGUGGUACAUGGGAGAAAGGUGUGAAAAGAGGGGCUCAACUCGUGACACUAUUGUCAUUGCUGUUUCCUCUACUGUCACUGUGUUUGCUGUCAUGUUGAUUAUCACCCUUGUCAGUGUCUAUUGUACCAAGAAGAAAUACCGUAAAAAGAUCAGUUCAGAUACAACAGGUGGAGGCAUUUUGAAGAUUAACCCGCAAUAAGGCCAGCAAAUGAAACUUAAAAAGCUUUCUUCAUCAUGAAUUUCACCUGAAAUGAGUUAACAGC